GUGGGGAAUAUUGGACAAUGGGCGAAAGCCUGAUCCAGCCAUGCCGCGUGUGUGAAGAAGGCCUUUUUGUUGUAAAGCACUUUAAGCGAGGAGGAGGCUACCGAGAUUAAUACUCUUGGAUAGUGGACGUUACUCGAAGAAUAAGCACCGGCUAACUCUGUGCCAGCAGCCGCGGUAAUACAGAGGGUGCAAGCGUUAAUCGGAUUUACUGGGCGUCAAGCGCGCGUAGGUGGCCAAUUAAGUCAAAUGUGAAAUCCCCGGGCUUAACUUGGGAGUUGCAUUAGAUACUGGUUGGCUAGAGUAUGGGAGAGGAUGGUAGAAUGCCAGGUGUAGCGGUGAAAUGCGUAGAGAUCUGGAGGAAUACCGAUGGCGAAGGCAGCCAUCUGGCCUAAAACUGACACUGAGGUGCGAAAGCAUGGGGAGCAAACAGGAUUAGAAACCCCGGUAGUCC
RNAcentral lists this ribosomal RNA (451 nucleotides) under uncultured bacterium. Its description in RNAcentral is "bacterial SSU rRNA". It matches the Rfam family "Bacterial small subunit ribosomal RNA", at positions 354 to 796 of the family's 1533-position model. The record is from RNAcentral.